Molecule: long non-coding RNA, 1023 nt
Filed under: Capra hircus (goat)
Lineage: Eukaryota; Metazoa; Chordata; Mammalia; Artiodactyla; Bovidae
Description: lncRNA (ENSCHIG00010000379.1)
Source: RNAcentral
ACGCUUUACCGUUUAAAACUUUUCAAAAAUUGUCCUUACUUUGUGUAAUGUGCUCUGAUAGUAUCUGGUCUAUCCCAUUACAUUCUAAUUCCACUCUUUUUUUUAAAAUUCUCAUCCUGACUCAUCAUUAAAAUGAUUUCAUGAUUCAUUAAUGGAUCAGGACCUGAAGUUUAAAAAACACUAUUUGUAAAUGGUGGGCAAUUUUAAGAGGUGAAUAAACAGGAGAAUGAUAUGAUUAUGAAAGCCUGGCCAAGCAUUUAAGAUGGACAGACUGAACUGAAGGAGGCAGCUCUCCGAGAGAUGAUGAGAGUCUGAACCAACCAAUACAAAUAAUAAUGAGAGUCAACAUUUAUUGAAGCAUUUCUUGUGAGUGUCCUAUGAAAAGCUAGAUUUGAGUGCAUUCUAUUAUUUUACCAGUUAAAUCCUUAAACAAAUAUUUAUAUUUGUUAUUUAUUAUUACUGUUUUACAGAUUUAAGAGCUGAGACUUUGAAAAUGUUCUUAAGUUCUUAUAGUUUGUGUUUGGCAAAGCCAGAAUUUGAUUGUAGAUAUACAUGACCAGGUCCAAGCUCUUAUACGUUUCAUUCCUAUCUCCUUUCCUCUCAAAAAUAUUUUGUAUUUUAUUGUGCAGAGUUCAGUACAUUUUGUUAUGGAUAAAUGAUGUACAGCCAAAGAAAUGUUUGAAGUCUCUUCCAGGUUUCUCAGGAGAGGGGUCAUGGAAUUUUUCUAACAAGAGAGGUAUUUCAAAUUUAGAACUGUGAAUUAGUCAAGUUGUCAAUUCAGGUUGUCAAAUCACAGAAUAAACCUCCUGCAAGCCUCGUAUUAUGCCAUUUUACCAAGGUGCUUAUUUCUGUUUGUUAAGAAAUAUAAUAAUGUUUCACUUAAACAUUUCACAAACAGGUAUUAUUGUCUCGGCAGGUAUGUACUUAAUGUCAUCAUGCAGGGUGACAGUGCAGAAAGUAAGAUAAAUUGAACAUGUGCUGCUGCUGCUGCUGCUGCUGCUAAGUCACUUCAGUCGUGUCCGA